UACGUAGGGUGCAAGCGUUGUCCGGAAUUAUUGGGCGUAAAGAGCUCGUAGGCGGUUUGUCGCGUCUGCUGUGAAAACCCGAGGCUCAACCUCGGGCCUGCAGUGGGUAUGGGCAGACUAGAGUGCGGUAGGGGAGAUUGGAAUUCCUGGUGUAGCGGUGGAAUGCGCAGAUAUCAGGAGGAACACCAAUGGCGAAGGCAGAUCUCUGGGCCGUAACUGACGCUGAGGAGUGAAAGCAUGGGGAGCGAACAGGA
This 254-nucleotide ribosomal RNA is filed under the name uncultured bacterium. Its description in RNAcentral is "partial 16S ribosomal RNA". It matches the Rfam family "Bacterial small subunit ribosomal RNA", at positions 524 to 777 of the family's 1533-position model. The record is from RNAcentral.